UCCUCGGUAGUAUAUCGGCUAGUACACCCGCCUGUCAAUUGACGGUGCGCGGGAGAGCGGGGUUCGACUCCCCGCCGAGGAG
RNAcentral lists this transfer RNA (82 nucleotides) under Schizophyllum commune. RNAcentral describes it as "tRNA-Asp". It matches the Rfam family "tRNA". From Rfam's summary of the family: Transfer RNA (tRNA) molecules are approximately 80 nucleotides in length. Their secondary structure includes four short double-helical elements and three loops (D, anti-codon, and T loops). Lineage: Eukaryota; Fungi; Basidiomycota; Agaricomycetes; Agaricales; Schizophyllaceae. RNAcentral also lists the same sequence under 1 other name. The record is from RNAcentral.